Gallus gallus (chicken) is the source of this 13878-nucleotide long non-coding RNA. RefSeq lists it as uncharacterized. The record is from RefSeq and is a predicted model, not a curated record. NCBI's taxonomy places the organism in Eukaryota, Metazoa, Chordata, Aves, Galliformes, Phasianidae. The transcript is spliced from 21 exons.
CCUUUAGGACUCUUCCAUUUCCCCUUCUUUCUAAGUCUUUUUCUUGGUCGUGCUUGAAGUCUUCUUUUCUUUUCAUUUUUUCUAUUCUAAUUUUAAUUUUUUCCUUAGCUGUUUAUCUUAAACAUCUGUACUUUGUUUCCUUGCUGGACCUAUGGGAACUGUUAGGUGCGGGCCUAACGCAGUGAUGGAGCGCCGGGUGGCGGUGUGGACAGCCCGGGGAGUACCCAGGAGGAUUGGGUGUGCUGAGCCUUGCAAAGGGCUGAGUUGUUGUUGUUUCUUUGCUUGGUUCUGACCUGUUUGUUUUCGGUUCAGUGUUGAGCAGAAGAGUUUGGACACCAGCAUUUCUUCCAAGCGAUGUGAUGACUCUGCUGAGGCUCUUGGUGGACACAGCAGGAACCCACAGUCAAAGCUGGAAACCAACAUCCACAAGUGAUCUUGUCGGGCAAGAUCUAUUGCUCCCAGAGAGUGUUUUUGAUCUUCUGGUUCUGAUUGGUGUCAGUUUGUACUCAUGCUCACUGGGCUUUCUAAGGGUGUUCCCCUUCCUUGACACCACAUUUCCCAUCCUCCAUUUCCAAGCAGGAGCUCCCCUUGGCCUUCGUGUCUCGCUCUGGCCAGGCAGAUGUGGUGUGCCAACGGAUCAAAGCCUUCAGAAUCCAACCAAAGUAAAUGAGGAGAGAGGCUGCCCUGGGUGAGACAGGAGAAGUGCCCCUUGAAGCGGGGGACGCCCCACUGGUGCUGCCUCUCACAUCCACCGGCAGCGCGUUCCUUCUCUCUCCUUGCCGCCCGGCGCUUUGCCGUCUCCCAGGGCUCGCCAAGUCCAAAUGUUCCCUGAUGGAGUCCAACUCCGGCUUGGCCAACACUCACCCGGUCUGUCCCCACACCAGCUGGCUUAGGGCUCCCCAGUUCUGAUGGGAUCUCAGUGCCUUCUGUCGCUCCCAAUCAGCUUGCCUCUGCUCUUUGCUUUUUGGCUUCCAGAGUGUUUGGUACAGUUAUGGAGUGUUUCUCUUCUCUCUUUCCUUGUCCUCCAUGUUGCCCGUUGGCGCCUCGGUCGAUUUCCAGUGACCCAACCGCAGACUGCUGUGUGUUGACCAAGGGUGAUGCCAGAAGAAGAGGUGGGCUCCAAAAGAGGCUGCUGGAUAGGAGACUCUGCUGUCAGAUGUCGUUGCCUGUCCAUCCCUCCCGAGCUUGCAGAGUUGGAUGUUACCUCAGCAUUGGAUAAGGGGUAAGUGAUUCCUGCAUCCUUACCAGAAGGUAAUCUCUACUCGUCUUGUGCUGUGUGGAACAGGUUGCAGUGGAGAAGUGCAGUUGUCCGGGGCGCUGUAAGGACUCUGCUGAGGCUCUUGGUGGACACAGCAGGAACCCACAGCCAGAGAUGGAUGCCAAGAUCCACUCCUUCCUAUGUCUGGCAAGCUCUGUUGUCUCCUGAGGUUGUUCCCACGCUUGCAGAGGCUGCCAAUUGAUCCCUCUUUGGUCUUCAAUAAACCAAAUUCAGUCUGGUAAGAUUUGACCAAGUGAGAUGGAAAAUGACAUGGUAGACUCCAAAAUAGCCUUGAGUAUUGGAGACUUAUCCACCACAUGGUGAUGCCUUUCCUGACCUCCUUGAUUGCAGUGUGGGAUGUGCCCUGAUCCUUGGAAAGGGGUGAGUGAUUCCUGCAUCCUUACCUGAAGGUGAUCUCUGCUUGUCUUGUCUUGAGUCCAGCAGGUGGAAGUGGAAUGUUGUGACCCUGCUGAGGAGUGCAAGGACUGUAUUGAGGCUCUUGGUGGACACAGCAGGAACCCACACCCAUAGAUGGAUGCCAAGAUCUGCUCCUUCCUGUGUCUGGCAAACUCUGUCGACCCUGAGAUGAUUCCCACGCUUGCAGAGGGCCUAUGGGCUUGGUGUCUGUUGUCCCUUGUGCUCACUGGGCUUUCCAAGGGCGUUCCCCUUCCUUGACACCACCUUUCCCACCCUCCAUUUCCAAGCAGGAGCUCCACUUGGCCUCCGCGUCUCGCUCUGGCCAGGCAGAUGUGGUGUGCCAACGGAUCAAAGCCUUCAUUAUCCAACCAAAGGAAAUGAGGAGAGAGGCUGCCCUGGGUGAGACAGGAGAAGUGCCCCUUGAAGCGGGGGACGCCCCACUGGUGCUGCCUCUCACAUCCACCGGCAGCGCGUUCCUUCUCUCUCCUUGCCGCCCGGCGCUUUGCCGUCUCCCAGGGCUCGCCAAGUCCAAAUGUCCCCUGAUGGAGUCCAACUCCAGCUUGACCAGCUCUCACCUGGUCUGUCCCCGCACCAGCUGGCUUAGGGCUCCCCAGUACUGAUGGGACCUCAGUGCCUUCUGUCACUCCCGAUCAGCUUGCCUCUGCUCUUUGAUUUUUGGCUUCCCGAGCAUUUGCUACAGUUAUGGAGUGUUUCUCUUCUCUCUUUCCUUGUCCUCCAUGUUGCCCGUUGGCGCCUCGGUCGAUUUCCAGUGACCCAACCGCAGACUGCUGUGUGUUGACCAAGGGUGAUGCCAGAAGAAGAGGUGGGCUCCAAAAGAGGCUGCUGGAUUGGAGUCUCCACCGCCACAUGGUUCUGUCAUUCCUGAUAUCCCCACUUUGCAGCGUUGGACCUCCCUGGACACUUGGAAAGGGGUGAGUGAUUCAUUCAUCCUUACCAGAAGGUGAUCUCUGCUGGUCUUGUCUUGUUUCCAACAGGUGGCAGUGGAGAUUUACAUCCCUCCCGAGCGGUGCAAGGACUCUGCUGAGGCUCUUGGUGGACACAGCAGGAACCCACAGCCAGAGAUGGACGCCAGGAUCCACUCUUUCCUGUGUCUGGCAAGCUCUGUUGUAUACUGCGGUCGUUCCCACGCUUGCAGUGGUCCUAUGGGCUUGGUGUCGGUUGUCCCUUGUGCUCACCAUGCUGUCACCGGGUGUUCUUCCUUUGCCCAUCUGUAGGGCUCCCCAGUUCUGGUGGGAUCUCAGUGUCUUCUGUUGAUCCCAGGGUACUUUGAUUUGUUCUUUUCUUUUCAGGUUCUGUACCAUUUUAUGCUUUUAUGCUGUGUUUUUCUUCCUUCCUUUUGUUUUACAGGCUGAAAAUGGACGCCUGAUGGUAUCUAUGAUGCCCCAAAUGCAGUCUCGUAAGGCUUGGCCAAGUGUGGUGGGAAAGGAAGAGGAUUGGGGACGCCAGCUCUAGAUGCCAAUGCACACUGUGACAUCCCUGGGUGGCAGCGUUGGAAGUGCCUGGACCCUUGGAAAGGGCUAAGUGAUUGAUUUGUUGUUAUUUGAAUGUAGUUUGUGUUCAACAGGUGAUGGUGGGGAACUGUGGCCUUUUGAUCAGCGCAAAGAGUGUAUUGUGACUCUAGGUGGGCAAAACAGGAAUGCAGAGCCAUAAGUCGAUGCCAUGAUGCCCUCCUUUCUCUGUUUGGCAAGCUCUGUUGACCUUGAGGUGGCUCCCACGCUUGCAGAGGGCCUUUGGGCUUGGUGUCCGUUGUCCCUUGUGCUCACUGGGCUUUCCAAGGGUGUUCCUCUUACUUGACACCACCUUUCCCACUCUCUAUUUCCAAGCAGGAGCUCCCCUUGGCCUCCGCGUCUCGCUCUGGCCAGGCAGAUGUGGUGUGCCAACGGAUCAAAGCCUUCAGAAUCCAACCAAAGGAAAUGAGGAGAGAGGCUGCCCUGGGUGAGACAGGAGAAGUGCCCCUUGAAGCGGGGGACGCCCCGCUCGCGCUGCCUCUCACAUCCACCGGCAGCGCGUUCCUUCUCUCUCCUUGCCGCCCGGCGCUUUGCCGUCUCCCAGGGCUCGCCAAGUCCAAAUGUUCCCUGAUGGAGUCCAACUCCGGCUUGGCCAACACUCACCCGGUCUGUCCCCACACCAGCUGGCUUAGGGCUCCCCAGUUCUGAUGGGACCUCAGUGCCUUCUGUCGCUCCCAGUCAGCAUGGCUUUGCUCUUUGCUUUUUGGCUUCCAGAGCGUUUGGUACAGUUAUGGAGUGUUUCUCUUCUCUCUCUCCUUGUCUUCCAUGUUGCCCAUUGGCGCCUCGGUCGAUUUCCAGUGACCCAACCGCAGACUGCUGUGCGUUGACCAAGGGUGAUGCCAAGAGAAGAGGUGGGCUCCAAAAGAGGCUGCUGGAUAGGAGACUCUGCUGUCAGAUGUCGUUGCCUGUCCAUCCCUCCCGAGCUUGCAGAGUUGGAUGUUACCUCAGCAUUGGAUAAGGGGUAAGUGAUUCCUGCAUCCUUACCAGAAGGUAAUCUCUACUCGUCUUGUGCUGUGUGGAACAGGUUGCAGUGGAGAAGUGCAGUUGUCCGGGGCGCUGUAAGGACUCUGCUGAGGCUCUUGGUGGACACAGCAGGAACCCACAGCCAGAGAUGGAUGCCAAGAUCCACUCCUUCCUAUGUCUGGCAAGCUCUGUUGUCUCCUGAGGUUGUUCCCACGCUUGCAGAGGCUGCCAAUUGAUCCCUCUUUGGUCUUCAAUAAACCAAAUUCAGUCUGGUAAGAUUUGACCAAGUGAGAUGGAAAAUGACAUGGUAGACUCCAAAAUAGCCUUGAGUAUUGGAGACUUAUCCACCACAUGGUGAUGCCUUUCCUGACCUCCUUGAUUGCAGUGUGGGAUGUGCCCUGAUCCUUGGAAAGGGGUGAGUGAUUCCUGCAUCCUUACCUGAAGGUGAUCUCUGCUUGUCUUGUCUUGAGUCCAGCAGGUGGAAGUGGAAUGUUGUGACCCUGCUGAGGAGUGCAAGGACUGUAUUGAGGCUCUUGGUGGACACAGCAGGAACCCACACCCAUAGAUGGAUGCCAAGAUCUGCUCCUUCCUGUGUCUGGCAAACUCUGUCGACCCUGAGAUGAUUCCCACGCUUGCAGAGGGCCUAUGGGCUUGGUGUCUGUUGUCCCUUGUGCUCACUGGGCUUUCCAAGGGCGUUCCCCUUCCUUGACACCACCUUUCCCACCCUCCAUUUCCAAGCAGGAGCUCCACUUGGCCUCCGCGUCUCGCUCUGGCCAGGCAGAUGUGGUGUGCCAACGGAUCAAAGCCUUCAUUAUCCAACCAAAGGAAAUGAGGAGAGAGGCUGCCCUGGGUGAGACAGGAGAAGUGCCCCUUGAAGCGGGGGACGCCCCACUGGUGCUGCCUCUCACAUCCACCGGCAGCGCGUUCCUUCUCUCUCCUUGCCGCCCGGCGCUUUGCCGUCUCCCAGGGCUCGCCAAGUCCAAAUGUCCCCUGAUGGAGUCCAACUCCAGCUUGACCAGCUCUCACCUGGUCUGUCCCCGCACCAGCUGGCUUAGGGCUCCCCAGUACUGAUGGGACCUCAGUGCCUUCUGUCACUCCCGAUCAGCUUGCCUCUGCUCUUUGAUUUUUGGCUUCCCGAGCAUUUGCUACAGUUAUGGAGUGUUUCUCUUCUCUCUUUCCUUGUCCUCCAUGUUGCCCGUUGGCGCCUCGGUCGAUUUCCAGUGACCCAACCGCAGACUGCUGUGUGUUGACCAAGGGUGAUGCCAGAAGAAGAGGUGGGCUCCAAAAGAGGCUGCUGGAUUGGAGUCUCCACCGCCACAUGGUUCUGUCAUUCCUGAUAUCCCCACUUUGCAGCGUUGGACCUCCCUGGACACUUGGAAAGGGGUGAGUGAUUCAUUCAUCCUUACCAGAAGGUGAUCUCUGCUGGUCUUGUCUUGUUUCCAACAGGUGGCAGUGGAGAUUUACAUCCCUCCCGAGCGGUGCAAGGACUCUGCUGAGGCUCUUGGUGGACACAGCAGGAACCCACAGCCAGAGAUGGACGCCAGGAUCCACUCUUUCCUGUGUCUGGCAAGCUCUGUUGUAUACUGCGGUCGUUCCCACGCUUGCAGUGGUCCUAUGGGCUUGGUGUCGGUUGUCCCUUGUGCUCACCAUGCUGUCACCGGGUGUUCUUCCUUUGCCCAUCUGUAGGGCUCCCCAGUUCUGGUGGGAUCUCAGUGUCUUCUGUUGAUCCCAGGGUACUUUGAUUUGUUCUUUUCUUUUCAGGUUCUGUACCAUUUUAUGCUUUUAUGCUGUGUUUUUCUUCCUUCCUUUUGUUUUACAGGCUGAAAAUGGACGCCUGAUGGUAUCUAUGAUGCCCCAAAUGCAGUCUCGUAAGGCUUGGCCAAGUGUGGUGGGAAAGGAAGAGGAUUGGGGACGCCAGCUCUAGAUGCCAAUGCACACUGUGACAUCCCUGGGUGGCAGCGUUGGAAGUGCCUGGACCCUUGGAAAGGGCUAAGUGAUUGAUUUGUUGUUAUUUGAAUGUAGUUUGUGUUCAACAGGUGAUGGUGGGGAACUGUGGCCUUUUGAUCAGCGCAAAGAGUGUAUUGUGACUCUAGGUGGGCAAAACAGGAAUGCAGAGCCAUAAGUCGAUGCCAUGAUGCCCUCCUUUCUCUGUUUGGCAAGCUCUGUUGACCUUGAGGUGGCUCCCACGCUUGCAGAGGGCCUAUGGGCUUGGUGUCCGUUGUCCCUUGUGCUCACUGGGCUUUCCAAGGGUGUUCCUCUUACUUGACACCACCUUUCCCACUCUCUAUUUCCAAGCAGGAGCUCCCCUUGGCCUCCGCGUCUCGCUCUGGCCAGGCAGAUGUGGUGUGCCAACGGAUCAAAGCCUUCAGAAUCCAACCAAAGGAAAUGAGGAGAGAGGCUGCCCUGGGUGAGACAGGAGAAGUGCCCCUUGAAGCGGGGGACGCCCCGCUCGCGCUGCCUCUCACAUCCACCGGCAGCGCGUUCCUUCUCUCUCCUUGCCGCCCGGCGCUUUGCCGUCUCCCAGGGCUCGCCAAGUCCAAAUGUUCCCUGAUGGAGUCCAACUCCGGCUUGGCCAACACUCACCCGGUCUGUCCCCACACCAGCUGGCUUAGGGCUCCCCAGUUCUGAUGGGACCUCAGUGCCUUCUGUCGCUCCCAGUCAGCAUGGCUUUGCUCUUUGCUUUUUGGCUUCCAGAGCGUUUGGUACAGUUAUGGAGUGUUUCUCUUCUCUCUCUCCUUGUCUUCCAUGUUGCCCAUUGGCGCCUCGGUCGAUUUCCAGUGACCCAACCGCAGACUGCUGUGCGUUGACCAAGGGUGAUGCCAAGAGAAGAGGUGGGCUCCAAAAGAGGCUGCUGGAUAGGAGACUCUGCUGUCAGAUGUCGUUGCCUGUCCAUCCCUCCCGAGCUUGCAGAGUUGGAUGUUACCUCAGCAUUGGAUAAGGGGUAAGUGAUUCCUGCAUCCUUACCAGAAGGUAAUCUCUACUCGUCUUGUGCUGUGUGGAACAGGUUGCAGUGGAGAAGUGCAGUUGUCCGGGGCGCUGUAAGGACUCUGCUGAGGCUCUUGGUGGACACAGCAGGAACCCACAGCCAGAGAUGGAUGCCAAGAUCCACUCCUUCCUAUGUCUGGCAAGCUCUGUUGUCUCCUGAGGUUGUUCCCACGCUUGCAGAGGCUGCCAAUUGAUCCCUCUUUGGUCUUCAAUAAACCAAAUUCAGUCUGGUAAGAUUUGACCAAGUGAGAUGGAAAAUGACAUGGUAGACUCCAAAAUAGCCUUGAGUAUUGGAGACUUAUCCACCACAUGGUGAUGCCUUUCCUGACCUCCUUGAUUGCAGUGUGGGAUGUGCCCUGAUCCUUGGAAAGGGGUGAGUGAUUCCUGCAUCCUUACCUGAAGGUGAUCUCUGCUUGUCUUGUCUUGAGUCCAGCAGGUGGAAGUGGAAUGUUGUGACCCUGCUGAGGAGUGCAAGGACUGUAUUGAGGCUCUUGGUGGACACAGCAGGAACCCACACCCAUAGAUGGAUGCCAAGAUCUGCUCCUUCCUGUGUCUGGCAAACUCUGUCGACCCUGAGAUGAUUCCCACGCUUGCAGAGGGCCUAUGGGCUUGGUGUCUGUUGUCCCUUGUGCUCACUGGGCUUUCCAAGGGCGUUCCCCUUCCUUGACACCACCUUUCCCACCCUCCAUUUCCAAGCAGGAGCUCCACUUGGCCUCCGCGUCUCGCUCUGGCCAGGCAGAUGUGGUGUGCCAACGGAUCAAAGCCUUCAUUAUCCAACCAAAGGAAAUGAGGAGAGAGGCUGCCCUGGGUGAGACAGGAGAAGUGCCCCUUGAAGCGGGGGACGCCCCACUGGUGCUGCCUCUCACAUCCACCGGCAGCGCGUUCCUUCUCUCUCCUUGCCGCCCGGCGCUUUGCCGUCUCCCAGGGCUCGCCAAGUCCAAAUGUCCCCUGAUGGAGUCCAACUCCAGCUUGACCAGCUCUCACCUGGUCUGUCCCCGCACCAGCUGGCUUAGGGCUCCCCAGUACUGAUGGGACCUCAGUGCCUUCUGUCACUCCCGAUCAGCUUGCCUCUGCUCUUUGAUUUUUGGCUUCCCGAGCAUUUGCUACAGUUAUGGAGUGUUUCUCUUCUCUCUUUCCUUGUCCUCCAUGUUGCCCGUUGGCGCCUCGGUCGAUUUCCAGUGACCCAACCGCAGACUGCUGUGUGUUGACCAAGGGUGAUGCCAGAAGAAGAGGUGGGCUCCAAAAGAGGCUGCUGGAUUGGAGUCUCCACCGCCACAUGGUUCUGUCAUUCCUGAUAUCCCCACUUUGCAGCGUUGGACCUCCCUGGACACUUGGAAAGGGGUGAGUGAUUCAUUCAUCCUUACCAGAAGGUGAUCUCUGCUGGUCUUGUCUUGUUUCCAACAGGUGGCAGUGGAGAUUUACAUCCCUCCCGAGCGGUGCAAGGACUCUGCUGAGGCUCUUGGUGGACACAGCAGGAACCCACAGCCAGAGAUGGACGCCAGGAUCCACUCUUUCCUGUGUCUGGCAAGCUCUGUUGUAUACUGCGGUCGUUCCCACGCUUGCAGUGGUCCUAUGGGCUUGGUGUCGGUUGUCCCUUGUGCUCACCAUGCUGUCACCGGGUGUUCUUCCUUUGCCCAUCUGUAGGGCUCCCCAGUUCUGGUGGGAUCUCAGUGUCUUCUGUUGAUCCCAGGGUACUUUGAUUUGUUCUUUUCUUUUCAGGUUCUGUACCAUUUUAUGCUUUUAUGCUGUGUUUUUCUUCCUUCCUUUUGUUUUACAGGCUGAAAAUGGACGCCUGAUGGUAUCUAUGAUGCCCCAAAUGCAGUCUCGUAAGGCUUGGCCAAGUGUGGUGGGAAAGGAAGAGGAUUGGGGACGCCAGCUCUAGAUGCCAAUGCACACUGUGACAUCCCUGGGUGGCAGCGUUGGAAGUGCCUGGACCCUUGGAAAGGGCUAAGUGAUUGAUUUGUUGUUAUUUGAAUGUAGUUUGUGUUCAACAGGUGAUGGUGGGGAACUGUGGCCUUUUGAUCAGCGCAAAGAGUGUAUUGUGACUCUAGGUGGGCAAAACAGGAAUGCAGAGCCAUAAGUCGAUGCCAUGAUGCCCUCCUUUCUCUGUUUGGCAAGCUCUGUUGACCUUGAGGUGGCUCCCACGCUUGCAGAGGGCCUAUGGGCUUGGUGUCCGUUGUCCCUUGUGCUCACUGGGCUUUCCAAGGGUGUUCCUCUUACUUGACACCACCUUUCCCACUCUCUAUUUCCAAGCAGGAGCUCCCCUUGGCCUCCGCGUCUCGCUCUGGCCAGGCAGAUGUGGUGUGCCAACGGAUCAAAGCCUUCAGAAUCCAACCAAAGGAAAUGAGGAGAGAGGCUGCCCUGGGUGAGACAGGAGAAGUGCCCCUUGAAGCGGGGGACGCCCCGCUCGCGCUGCCUCUCACAUCCACCGGCAGCGCGUUCCUUCUCUCUCCUUGCCGCCCGGCGCUUUGCCGUCUCCCAGGGCUCGCCAAGUCCAAAUGUUCCCUGAUGGAGUCCAACUCCGGCUUGGCCAACACUCACCCGGUCUGUCCCCACACCAGCUGGCUUAGGGCUCCCCAGUUCUGAUGGGACCUCAGUGCCUUCUGUCGCUCCCAGUCAGCAUGGCUUUGCUCUUUGCUUUUUGGCUUCCAGAGCGUUUGGUACAGUUAUGGAGUGUUUCUCUUCUCUCUCUCCUUGUCUUCCAUGUUGCCCAUUGGCGCCUCGGUCGAUUUCCAGUGACCCAACCGCAGACUGCUGUGCGUUGACCAAGGGUGAUGCCAAGAGAAGAGGUGGGCUCCAAAAGAGGCUGCUGGAUAGGAGACUCUGCUGUCAGAUGUCGUUGCCUGUCCAUCCCUCCCGAGCUUGCAGAGUUGGAUGUUACCUCAGCAUUGGAUAAGGGGUAAGUGAUUCCUGCAUCCUUACCAGAAGGUAAUCUCUACUCGUCUUGUGCUGUGUGGAACAGGUUGCAGUGGAGAAGUGCAGUUGUCCGGGGCGCUGUAAGGACUCUGCUGAGGCUCUUGGUGGACACAGCAGGAACCCACAGCCAGAGAUGGAUGCCAAGAUCCACUCCUUCCUAUGUCUGGCAAGCUCUGUUGUCUCCUGAGGUUGUUCCCACGCUUGCAGAGGCUGCCAAUUGAUCCCUCUUUGGUCUUCAAUAAACCAAAUUCAGUCUGGUAAGAUUUGACCAAGUGAGAUGGAAAAUGACAUGGUAGACUCCAAAAUAGCCUUGAGUAUUGGAGACUUAUCCACCACAUGGUGAUGCCUUUCCUGACCUCCUUGAUUGCAGUGUGGGAUGUGCCCUGAUCCUUGGAAAGGGGUGAGUGAUUCCUGCAUCCUUACCUGAAGGUGAUCUCUGCUUGUCUUGUCUUGAGUCCAGCAGGUGGAAGUGGAAUGUUGUGACCCUGCUGAGGAGUGCAAGGACUGUAUUGAGGCUCUUGGUGGACACAGCAGGAACCCACACCCAUAGAUGGAUGCCAAGAUCUGCUCCUUCCUGUGUCUGGCAAACUCUGUCGACCCUGAGAUGAUUCCCACGCUUGCAGAGGGCCUAUGGGCUUGGUGUCUGUUGUCCCUUGUGCUCACUGGGCUUUCCAAGGGCGUUCCCCUUCCUUGACACCACCUUUCCCACCCUCCAUUUCCAAGCAGGAGCUCCACUUGGCCUCCGCGUCUCGCUCUGGCCAGGCAGAUGUGGUGUGCCAACGGAUCAGAGCCUUCAGAAUCCAACCAAAGGAAAUGAGGAGAGAGGCUGCCCUGGGUGAGACAGGAGAAGUACCCCUUGAAGCGGGGGACGCCCCACUGGUGCUGCCUCUCACAUCCACCGGCAGCGCGUUCCUUCUCUCUCCUUGCCGCCCGGCACUUUGCCGUCUCCCAGGGCUCGCCAAGUCCAAAUGUUCCCUGAUGGAGUCCAACUCCAGCUUCACCAGCACUCACUCGGUCUGUCCCCACACCAGCUGGCUUAGAGCUCCCCGGUACUGAUGGACGUCAGUGCCUUCUGUUGCUCCCUGUCAACAUGGUUGUGUUCUUUCUCUUCAGGUUCAGUAAUUAGUCUUCUUUUUAUGCAGUGUUACUCUUCUCUGUUUUCCUGUGUUUCAUGUUGCCUGUCAACGCCUCUUUGGAGAUGCACUGAGUGAAAUGUAAACUGAUAUUCUUUGAGCAAGUGUGAUGGAAAAUGAAGAUGUAGGCUCCACUACAGCUAUCGUGAUUGGAGACUCCACUACCGGAUUCGAUGGGGCUUGCAACUCUUCCUGUGUUUGUGCAUUGGUUAUCCACUGUCCUCGUCGAAGCGGGAAGGGCCAUUUUGACUAUUUGUCACCGCCCACCUGGCAAUCUGAAUUUAGGAGCUGCUUUCACGGAUGCGUCGCUGCAGAGCAAAGAAGGCCUGAAAACUUCAGCGGACCUCUACCCCUAAGAGAGCUCUGAAACUUAUGUUAAGAAAAGAAAUUGCUUAAUAUUUUUCUGUCUUCUACAGUUCUAACUGUGGCUUUAGCUUGGCCAGAAAAUAGGUAUGUAAAGCUAAUUGAAAAUCUUGCUGAAGGUUUUAGUGUUUCAGACUUGGGUUUGUGUGGCUCUCCCGAGAAGUGUAGGAAGUGUGCCAAUUUACGCAGCUGUUGCACUAAAUUGGACAACACUGGAUUAUGUAACAAAGCAGAUGGAAGACGAUGGUGGAAAUUGUAGAUGUGUGCAUGAAAAUCAGGGUAAGGUUGUUUAGCUGACUUUUGUCAUUAUUAUUAAUACCUGGAUCGUUUUUAUAGACAGGAAUUACGACAGUGCAAACCAUAUAAACUUUGGGUGCAGAAACUUGUCAGGCGUAGGGUGUUGUUGGGAAUAUGGCAAUUUUGGGAUGCUUACGAGAUAUAACGAGACGGCUCGAUGGCAGCAAGGCAGGUACCGUGAUCCUAGGGCCACUAGCAAUACUGUGCGGUCUGGAGAUAAAGAUAUCUUAGCUAUAGCGGGCACGGGGACUGCAUCAAUGGAACAUAGGCAGAAACGCUGUCAGCUCCCCUCUGGGUAUCGGUGGAUGUGUGGAAGUAGAUACGUGUGUAAAAUUCUCCCAUUGAAUUGGAUUGGGACACGCACAGCAGGUUAUCUGAUGCCUCACACAAGUAUCUACACUCGCAUAGAGUCACCACGAGGAUUUUUAAGAGCUAUGCAGCUAUACACUAAGAGAGGGAAUACUCCAGUAGUUGAAAGGACUAUGGGAUUCCAUAGUUCUGUUUGAUGGGUACUUUCAGCUGUCAGAGUCACUGAACUGGAACAAGCAGUUGUGAAGGUAUCAGUCACUAUGGAAAGAGUUGAGAACCAAAGUUUAGAAGCCAUCCACGGUCUUCAGACAGAUCUCACGCUGUAGUAAGUCAGUCUUGCAGAAUAGAAUGGCCCUCGACCUUCUUCCCGCACAGGCAUGAGGCGUCAGUAUGAUUAUUAACUGAAGUCACUGCGCUUACGUGGACAGAAAUGUACACAUAGAGAGUGAUUUAUAGGCAAUUAGGAGAGGCGUUUAAGAGCCACACCAAGUCUCCUUACGUGACCCUUCUGCUGGAAUGGUGGAUAUGUGGAAUAAGCUUUGUAACCGCUUCCUAACUUGGUGUGGCUAAAGUGACCAGUUGCAGUUGUACUGACGAUCCUCGCUGUGAUAACCUGCUUAGGCGCGAGGUGUUCUUUCUGUUGCUAUUGAACAAUGCUAGAUGAGCGCUCCACCUAGAAGAGGUACCGUGUGAAAUGUCAGGUAGAAACGGGGAAAUAGUUCUGGAACACAUUACUUGACAGUUGGGCACUGAAAGCAAAAGCCUUUGCAUAACAUACAGAUAAGGGUGGAUUGUAUCAAGGAAAGUAUAAAUCUGGACCUCAUAGCAUGUGCCAACUUGGGAAGGAACACAGAAUGCGGUGGAACGUGGUCCACGAGAACUAGGAAGAUAAGGACACAAAGCUGACGACAGGAUGGAAGGUCCACUGAAGGUCAGCGGAGUUGCACUUUGUAAGUGAAUAUGCAGCAUAAGGAGGAUAAGGAGGCAGAGCUGCCAUUGCUGAGCCUAAGGAAGCGAAGUUGCCGUUGCGACACAAUGCAAGCCCACCCUUCCGAAGCUGGAAGCUCUCAGCGAGGUAUGCUGAUCACCUUCAUCCAACGCUGACCAGGGCACCGCGCCGCUUCUUUAGGACCAUGGCAGUAGGGUGGGGCAAUGUAUUAAUAAUGUCUUGGAAUGCCACCCAUGUUUCUUGCAAUGUAAUUAACGUUUGUAUGUUAUGUUUUAAAAGAUGUACCCAUUGUUAUCCUGGCUGCGUGAGUUAGGAGAUUUCUCCUUGCAUCUUAUGUUGUAAUAAAAAUCACUGCUGAGUGUGUGUCAAUGUUAGGAUUUUGGUAUGAACGCAUGGCUUAUGCCUGGCAUUCUCCUAUUGAGCGUUUGUGAAUGAAGAAAGCUUCUAUAGAGGGUGAUUUAGGAAGACACCUGGAUGACGUUGAAGGCUGCCAGAUAGACCGUCACGAUGCUCAAAGAACGGUACGGAGUAGAAGCGAGCCUGGAAUAGAAGACUGGAAAUGUUAUGUAUCUGUCUCAGAGAGCAUAGGAGGGACACGGGGGUCUGUCUGUGUUUAUCAUCUUGUGUGUUACUGCUGAGCGUGCAGUAUCUGCGGAACUAGCGUGGAGUCUGAAUUGUGUCAUCUUCGAAGCUGUUACGCUGGAAAUAUCCUCUGUGCUUUCUGGUAUUGCUAAUAAAGACUUCCUGCCUUAAUGCUAA